RNAcentral lists this ribosomal RNA (83 nucleotides) under Flavobacteriaceae bacterium. The record is from RNAcentral. Lineage: Bacteria; Pseudomonadati; Bacteroidota; Flavobacteriia; Flavobacteriales; Flavobacteriaceae.
CUCUUCCCAUUUCGAACAGAGAAGUUAAGCCUAAUAGCGCAGAUGGUACUGCCAUUUGGUGGGAGAGUAUGUCACCGCCUUCU